UUAAUUGAAGCUAUAUAGCAAAUUAUUGUUAAUAAUUUAUUUGAAUAUAAAAUUAUUCCAAUUAAU
RNAcentral lists this transfer RNA (66 nucleotides) under Thyreus decorus. RNAcentral's name for it is "tRNA-Asn". The record is from RNAcentral. Lineage: Eukaryota; Metazoa; Arthropoda; Insecta; Hymenoptera; Apidae.